Molecule: microRNA precursor, 81 nt
Filed under: Nicotiana tabacum (common tobacco)
Lineage: Eukaryota; Viridiplantae; Streptophyta; Magnoliopsida; Solanales; Solanaceae
Description: miR6150 stem-loop (nta-MIR6150)
Source: miRBase by way of RNAcentral
CCCUGAUAGCAGAUUUGUUUGAUCGUCUUGGCCAAGCCAAGGUAUUUACCAAGAUGGAUUUAAGGAAAGGAUAUUAUCAAG